UGUGUAGGUGGCGCGCUAAGUCGGGUGUGAAAUUUCGGAGCUUAACUCCGAAACUGCAUUCGAUACUGGCGUGCUUGAGGACUGGAGAGGAGACUGGAAUUUACGGUGUAGCAGUGAAAUGCGUAGAUAUCGUAAGGAAGACCAGUGGCGAAGGCGGGUCUCUGGACAGUUCCUGACACUGAGACACGAAAGGCCAGGGGGAGCAAACG
Molecule: ribosomal RNA, 209 nt
Filed under: uncultured bacterium
Lineage: Bacteria
Description: partial 16S ribosomal RNA
Rfam family: Bacterial small subunit ribosomal RNA
Source: RNAcentral